Long non-coding RNA from Carassius gibelio (silver crucian carp), 1830 nucleotides. RefSeq lists it as uncharacterized. The record is from RefSeq and is a predicted model, not a curated record. The transcript is spliced from 3 exons. NCBI's taxonomy places the organism in Eukaryota, Metazoa, Chordata, Actinopteri, Cypriniformes, Cyprinidae.
CUAAGUCCCGCCGGAAUUUUGUGUUCCCCUCGGGACGGUGUCGCGGUAACACCGGUCCACUUCCGGGUUGCGCCCGAUGUCACAAUAACAACGCUAAUGACAGAUUGACAUCUGGUGUGGGGAGUUUGAUGUGGCGAUCUGUGAGAGGAUUAUGGAGGCGGAGUAACCGCAUAAAAAGAGAAGUGCAGAGACCAUAUAGGGUUGGAGAUUCUAUUUGGUCGUUCGUUCUCCCGGCUAUUCUUCCUGGUUGGCUUGCCCCCGUGUGUGGUUCUUCUCUUUGGAUGUGUUCCCCUAGGAGAAGUGAAUUCCUGGGACGUUUGGGCUGGCGUGUGGAGGUAUUUGAGGACUAUUGUGGGGUUUCGGCUAUCUGGCUGUGCGACAGAUAUAUCAGCGAUCGAGUGGAGAUAUUCAGGACAGAAAGAGUGUGAGCUCUGGAAAGCAAGUGAAGACCAAACCGCGCCAUCGCUAUUGGAGGGAAGUUAAGAGACCUGAUCUGGGACUUCGAUCAAUUGUAUACAUCUGGACUGGGAGUGAUAACGUUGUGAAGUGGACGGAGCCAUCGUUGGGUGAGUGCUGGCUCUAUUUGCACUAAGAGUGGGUGUGCCGUGUCUGAAGUGGUGUGUUUGCACAAUAAUUCGUUUGAAGUGAAGUUACAGAGUGUGGGGAAGAUAUAUAGAGUUAAUGCCGGACGCUCACCACCCCGAGAGCCCACCACCGUCACCGUAAUCCACACCCAGGCACUCGACUGAAGUAUCCCCCAGCCGUAAGCCCCAUUUCUUAUUCAAGAACACAUACAUGCUGUUGAUUACUUACCCCGCUGUGUAGAUCGCAGGAUCCUCUGGGCCGAAUGCUGUAUGUGAUGUCCCUGUAGAAAGAGGUGGACACACGAAUUAUUCCUUUCCCGGUCUUAACCGAAGCAUCUCCCAGCCGUAAGCCUCACUACUUAUUCAAGAACACAUACUUACUGUUGAUUACUUACUCUGCUGUGCAGAUCGCAGGAUCCUCUGGGCCGAACGCCGCAUGUGAUGUCCCUAUGAAAAGAGAUCACAGGAUUCUCUGGGCCGAAUGCUGCAUGUGAUGUCCCUGUAAAAGGAGGUGGACACGAGAAUUAUUCCUUUUCCCGGUCUCGACCGAAACAUCCACGAGCUCUACUUACCCGGAUACCCCCCUCACUCCGGGACGGGUGACAGACUAUCCUGGCUCUUGCUGGCCCCGUACAGGCACGAAUUGCUGACGACUCCACGCCUUCCCGGCGUCUGAGGUCUGGCUCUGUUCUGGUCGGGAGACACGGAAGGAACACUGAACUUUUAAAUUGCUUUUAACUAAAUAAAACCUUGUUCAUUUUUUAUACUCUCGUCCGUCUGGUUCUUCUGGUACGCUCCCCGAGGUGAUCCUGGGUUUCAGGGGUGGGUGCAGUCCAGCUUGGCCCCCCCGACCUGUGACAGAUUUGGCGUAGUCGGCAGGGUUUCACCUCGGGUUGAGCGACCAGGGAUUCUCAGAUGGCCGACGACGAGGCACUGGGGGCCCCACCCCGAGUCAUGCCAGUGUUCAGGGGAAACCCCUGGGUCCAGAAAUAUGGAGGAAAUGAGUCAGAGGUGCGCCUCUCCGAAUGGCGGGCUCAGAUCGAAUAUCUGGCCGGGCUACAGGGACUGAGCGCGACCCAACAGCUACAGUUUGCCCUCAACUCCCUUGACGGGGAAGCGCGGCGGGAAGUCCAAGCCGCCCCCGAAGCUGUCCGAACCACCGCCCAGUCUGUGUUCAGAUUCCUGACGGAAAGGUAUGGUGACGCCACUCCAACUGCGGUUCUCCGGGCCCAGUUCUUCAGCAGCA